GGUACCAUGCCCGAGUGGUCGAAGGGAACAGUUUCAAAAGCUGUUUGUGGAAGCACAUCGUGAGUUCGAAUCUCACUGGUACUAC
Molecule: transfer RNA, 85 nt
Filed under: Tupanvirus deep ocean
Lineage: Varidnaviria; Bamfordvirae; Nucleocytoviricota; Megaviricetes; Imitervirales; Mimiviridae
Also listed under: 1 other name
Description: tRNA-Leu
Rfam family: tRNA
About the family: Transfer RNA (tRNA) molecules are approximately 80 nucleotides in length. Their secondary structure includes four short double-helical elements and three loops (D, anti-codon, and T loops).
Source: RNAcentral